UACGGGGGGGGCAAGCGUUGUUCGGAAUUACUGGGCGUAAAGGGCUCGUAGGUGGCCAACUAAGUCAGACGUGAAAUCCCUCGGCUUAACCGGGGAACUGCGUCUGAUACUGGAUGGCUUGAGUUUGGGAGAGGGACGCGGAAUUCCAGGUGUAGCGGUGAAAUGCGUAGAUAUCUGGAGGAACACCGGUGGCGAAGGCGGAGUCCUGGACCAACACUGACACUGAGGAGCGAAAGCCAGGGGAGCAAACGGG
Molecule: ribosomal RNA, 253 nt
Filed under: uncultured bacterium
Lineage: Bacteria
Description: partial 16S ribosomal RNA
Rfam family: Bacterial small subunit ribosomal RNA
Source: RNAcentral